GGACGAACGCUGGCGGCGUGCUUAACACAUGCAAGUCGAACGGAAAGGCCCUGCUUUUGUGGGGUGCUCGAGUGGCGAACGGGUGAGUAACACGUGAGUAACCUGCCCUUGACUUUGGGAUAACUUCAGGAAACUGGGGCUAAUACCGGAUAGGAGCUCCUGCUGCAUGGUGGGGGUUGGAAAGUUUCGGCGGUUGGGGAUGGACUCGCGGCUUAUCAGCUUGUUGGUGGGGUAGUGGCUUACCAAGGCUUUGACGGGUAGCCGGCCUGAGAGGGUGACCGGCCACAUUGGGACUGAGAUACGGCCCAGACUCCUACGGGAGGCAGCAGUGGGGAAUAUUGCACAAUGGGCGGAAGCCUGAUGCAGCAACGCCGCGUGCGGGAUGACGGCCUUCGGGUUGUAAACCGCUUUCGCCUGUGACGAAGCGUGAGUGACGGUAAUGGGUAAAGAAGCACCGGCUAACUACGUGCCAGCAGCCGCGGUGAUACGUAGGGUGCGAGCGUUGUCCGGAUUUAUUGGGCGUAAAGGGCUCGUAGGUGGUUGAUCGCGUCGGAAGUGUAAUCUUGGGGCUUAACCCUGAGCGUGCUUUCGAUACGGGUUGACUUGAGGAAGGUAGGGGAGAAUGGAAUUCCUGGUGGAGCGGUGGAAUGCGCAGAUAUCAGGAGGAACACCAGUGGCGAAGGCGGUUCUCUGGGCCUUUCCUGACGCUGAGGAGCGAAAGCGUGGGGAGCGAACAGGCUUAGAUACCCUGGUAGUCCACGCUGUAAACGGUGGGUACUAGGUGUGGGGUCCAUUCCACGGGUUCCGUGCCGUAGCUAACGCUUUAAGUACCCCGCCUGGGGAGUACGGCCGCAAGGCUAAAACUCAAAGGAAUUGACGGGGCCCCGCACAAGCGGCGGAGCAUGCGGAUUAAUUCGAUGCAACGCGUAGAACCUUACCUGGGUUUGACAUGGAUCGGGAGUGCUCAGAGAUGGGUGUGCCUCUUUUGGGGUCGGUUCACAGGUGGUGCAUGGCUGUCGUCAGCUCGUGUCGUGAGAUGUUGGGUUAAGUCCCGCAACGAGCGCAACCCUUGUUCACUGUUGCCAGCACGUUAUGGUGGGGACUCAGUGGAGACCGCCGGGGUCAACUCGGAGGAAGGUGGGGAUGACGUCAAGUCAUCAUGCCCCUUAUGUCCAGGGCUUCACGCAUGCUACAAUGGCUGGUACAGAGAGUGGCGAGCCUGUGAGGGUGAGCGAAUCUCGGAAAGCCGGUCUCAGUUCGGAUUGGGGUCUGCAACUCGACCUCAUGAAGUCGGAGUCGCUAGUAAUCGCAGAUCAGCAACGCUGCGGUGAAUACGUUCCCGGGGCUUGUACACACCGCCCGUCAAGUCAUGAAAGUUGGUAACACCCGAAGCCGAUGGCCUAACCGUUGUGGGGGAGCCGUCGAAGG
Molecule: ribosomal RNA, 1428 nt
Filed under: uncultured organism
Description: 16S ribosomal RNA
Rfam family: Bacterial small subunit ribosomal RNA
Source: RNAcentral